GAAAGGGUGCGUACACGUGGGAAAUUACCAAGAAGUGGGGAAUAGCUCGACGAAAGUCGAAUUAAUACCGCAUACGAUCGCAAGAUCAAAGCCGGGGACCGCAAGGCCUGGCGCUUUUUGAGAAGCCCGCGGCCCAUCAGCUAGUUGGCGGGGUAACGGCCCACCAAGGCUAUAGACGGGUAGCUGGUCUGAGAGGACGACCAGCCAAACUGGAACUGAGACACGGUCCAGAACCUAACGGGUGGCAGCAGCCGAAGAAUUUUUCACAAUGGACGAAAGUCUGAUGGAGCGACG
This 294-nucleotide ribosomal RNA is filed under the name uncultured bacterium. RNAcentral's name for it is "partial 16S ribosomal RNA". It matches the Rfam family "Bacterial small subunit ribosomal RNA", at positions 100 to 396 of the family's 1533-position model. The record is from RNAcentral.